This 198-nucleotide ribosomal RNA is filed under the name uncultured bacterium. RNAcentral's name for it is "partial 16S ribosomal RNA". It matches the Rfam family "Bacterial small subunit ribosomal RNA", at positions 326 to 539 of the family's 1533-position model. The record is from RNAcentral.
ACGCUCGACACCUACGGUAGGCAGCAGUGGGGAAUAUUGCACAAUGGGGGAAACCCUGAUGCAGCGACGCCGCGUGAAGGAUGAAGUAUUUCGGUAUGUAAACUUCUAUCAGCAGGGAAGAAAGUGACGGUACCUGACUAAGAAGCCCCGGCUAACUACGUGCCAGCAGCCGCGGUAAUCUGAGCGGGCUGGCAAGGC